GUCCAGUCUGCUUUUUUGACUUUUCAGGAGGAGUCCAUGCAGAAUUCUUCUUGUAGGGUUGGUAGGAAGCUUUCUUGAGUUAGUGUGCUGUUCAGUGGUGUGUUGGAAAUAUUCCUUGAGUUGGAGACGUUGAAAGUAGGAUUCUGGAUCACCACAGAACUGUAUCAUGUUUGUGGGAGUGGUAGGGAAGAAGGAGAGGCCUCGAGAUAGGACAAACUCUUCUGCCGGGUAAGAGUAUCUGCACAAGUUUUUUCAGGAAGUUGAUGGAUUUCUACUUCAUACGGCUAAAUUCAGUGCCUUGCAUGAUAGACAGAUAAGA
Gopherus evgoodei (Goodes thornscrub tortoise) is the source of this 319-nucleotide long non-coding RNA. RefSeq lists it as uncharacterized. The record is from RefSeq and is a predicted model, not a curated record. The transcript has 3 exons. Lineage: Eukaryota; Metazoa; Chordata; Testudines; Testudinidae.